CAAAGACGAGGAAAGGCGUAGCAAGCGACAAAAUACUUUGGGGAGUUGAAAAUAAUCAUAGAUCCAGAGAUUCCCGAAAGGCUCAACCUUUCAAACUGUUGCUGAAUCCAUGGGCAGGCAAGAGACAACCUGGCGAAUUGAAACAUCUUAGUAGCCAGAGGAAAAGAAAGCAAAAGUGAUUCCCAUCGUAGCGGCGAGCAAAAUGGGAGCAGCCUAAACCGUGAAAACGGGGUUGUGGGAGAGCAAUACAAGCGUCAUGCUGUAAUAAAGAAUUCCUCGGGAAUUCCAAGAAAUCAUGUUAUGCGUUCGUUCCAGCCUUUAACCCUCUUUUCUAGGUUCAUCGAUAUUG
Molecule: non-coding RNA, 349 nt
Filed under: Amborella trichopoda
Lineage: Eukaryota; Viridiplantae; Streptophyta; Magnoliopsida; Amborellales; Amborellaceae
Description: Bacterial large subunit ribosomal RNA
Rfam family: Bacterial large subunit ribosomal RNA
Source: Rfam by way of RNAcentral